GUUGCGGUUUAAUUCAACAAUACGCGGGGAACCCUACCAGGGCCGACAGCAGAAUGAAGGUCAUCCUAAAUGGAUUACUUGACGCGCUGAGAGGUGGUGCAUGGCGGUCGUCAGCUCGUGCCAUGAGGUGUUCUGUUAAGUCAGAGAACGAGCGAGACCUGCGUCUUCAGUUGCCACCGUUCUUAUUUGAGAGCGAGCACACUGAAGAGACUGCAUUCGAAAGGAUGAGGAAGGUGCAGGCUACGGUACGUCUGUAUGCCCCGAAUGUCCUGGGCUACACGCGACAUACACUGGUUGAAACAGCGGGUAGCGACUCCGAAAGGAGAAGCCAAUCCCUUAAAGUCAAUCUGGUUCGGAUCGAGGGCUGCAACUCGCUCUCGUGAAGCCGAAAUCCCUAGUAAUCGUAUGUUAUCAACGUACGGUGAAUACGUCCCUGGCCCUUGCACUCACUGCCUGUCAAGUCAACCGAGCAGGGUUAUGGUGAGGAUUUGUUUUCGGGCAGAUUCAAAUCAUAGCUCAGUGAGGCGGAUUAAGUCAACACAAGGUACCUGUAGGGGAACCUGCAGGUG
RNAcentral lists this ribosomal RNA (569 nucleotides) under marine metagenome. RNAcentral describes it as "bacterial SSU rRNA". It matches the Rfam family "Archaeal small subunit ribosomal RNA", at positions 894 to 1467 of the family's 1478-position model. The record is from RNAcentral.